Molecule: non-coding RNA, 70 nt
Organism: Phrynosoma platyrhinos (Desert horned lizard)
Lineage: Eukaryota; Metazoa; Chordata; Lepidosauria; Squamata; Phrynosomatidae
Source: the annotation of a GenBank genome assembly
ACUUUAGUGCAGGUGGUUGCAGCAUUGGGCUAUGACCCUGGAGACCAGAGUUCGAAUCUCUGCUGAGGGA